UCCUCCCGGUGAGCUGGGUGCUAUGACAGAUGAGACUUUUAUGCGAGAAAAUAAAUCCUGCACAUUUGAUGUACUGCUUUAGACUCAAAGACCUCUUGGGACCUGGGACUGUAAGAUUCUCAAGGAAAGAAGACAUGAGCCAAACAUUUUGUAUCCAGUGAAACUGACUUUCAAAUGAAAAAAGCACCGGGAGUCUUUAGCUCUUUCUGAAGAAUCUACUAGAGACUGAGCUUCAGGUAACCUAAUGACCAGAGAGACAUCAACAGAAGAACUGAAUUCUAUAAAU
Molecule: long non-coding RNA, 286 nt
Organism: Neomonachus schauinslandi (Hawaiian monk seal)
Lineage: Eukaryota; Metazoa; Chordata; Mammalia; Carnivora; Phocidae
Exons: 3
Source: RefSeq, a predicted model, not a curated record